CGGGUGAGUAAUGUGUAGAGAAUCUGCCUUUGAGCGGGGGACAACAGUUGGAAACGAUUGCUAAUACCCCAUAUGAGCGUACCUGAAAUGGUAUUCUUGAAAACUCCGGUGCUCAAAGAUGAGUCUGCAUCUGAUUAGCUUGUUGGCAGGGUAACGGCCUACCAAGGCGACGAUCAGUAGCCGGCCUGAGAGGGUGGACGGCCACAUUGGGACUGAGACACGGCCCAGACUCCUACGGGAGGCAGCAG
This 248-nucleotide ribosomal RNA is filed under the name uncultured bacterium. Its description in RNAcentral is "partial 16S ribosomal RNA". It matches the Rfam family "Bacterial small subunit ribosomal RNA", at positions 103 to 354 of the family's 1533-position model. The record is from RNAcentral.